GCCGGGUGUGGUGGCGGGCACCUGUAAUCCCAGCUACUUGGGGAGGCUGAGGCAGGAGAAUUGCUUGAACCCAAGGGACAGAGGUUGCAGUGAGCCUAGAGCAUGCCACUGCACUCCAGCCUGGGUGACAGAGCGAGACUCUGUCUCAA
Macaca fascicularis (crab-eating macaque) is the source of this 149-nucleotide unclassified non-coding RNA. It matches the Rfam family "Metazoan signal recognition particle RNA". From Rfam's summary of the family: The signal recognition particle (SRP) is a universally conserved ribonucleoprotein. It is involved in the co-translational targeting of proteins to membranes. The record is from Ensembl. NCBI's taxonomy places the organism in Eukaryota, Metazoa, Chordata, Mammalia, Primates, Cercopithecidae.